This 497-nucleotide ribosomal RNA is filed under the name uncultured bacterium. Its description in RNAcentral is "partial 16S ribosomal RNA". It matches the Rfam family "Bacterial small subunit ribosomal RNA", at positions 28 to 507 of the family's 1533-position model. The record is from RNAcentral.
GAUGAACGCUGGCGGCGUGCCUAAUACAUGCAAGUCGAGCGAACGGAUGAGAAGCUUGCUUUUCUGAUGUUAGCGGCGGACGGGUGAGUAACACGUGGAUAACCUACCUAUAAGACUGGGAUAACUUCGGGAAACCGGAGCUAAUACCGGAUAAUAUUUUGAACCGCAUGGUUCAAAAGUGAAAGACGGUCUUGCUGUCACUUAUAGAUGGAUCCGCGCUGCAUUAGCUAGUUGGUAAGGUAACGGCUUACCAAGGCAACGAUGCAUAGCCGACCUGAGAGGGUGAUCGGCCACACUGGAACUGAGACACGGUCCAGACUCCUACGGGAGGCAGCAGUAGGGAAUCUUCCGCAAUGGGCGAAAGCCUGACGGAGCAACGCCGCGUGAGUGAUGAAGGUCUUCGGAUCGUAAAACUCUGUUAUUAGGGUAGAACAUAUGUGUAAGUAACUGUGCACAUCUUGACGGUACCUAAUCAGAAAGCCACGGCUAACUACGUG